Molecule: ribosomal RNA, 248 nt
Filed under: Bacillus amyloliquefaciens
Lineage: Bacteria; Bacillati; Bacillota; Bacilli; Caryophanales; Bacillaceae
Also listed under: 1 other name
Description: partial 16S rRNA. Bacterial SSU
Rfam family: Bacterial small subunit ribosomal RNA
Source: RNAcentral
CUUUAUCGGAGAGUUUGAUCCUGGCUCAGGACGAACGCUGGCGGCGUGCCUAAUACAUGCAAGUCGAGCGGACAGAUGGGAGCUUGCUCCCUGAUGUUAGCGGCGGACGGGUGAGUAACACGUGGGUAACCUGCCUGUAAGACUGGGAUAACUCCGGGAAACCGGGGCUAAUACCGGAUGGUUGUUUGAACCGCAUGGUUCAGACAUAAAAGGUGGCUUCGGCUACCACUUACAGAUGGACCCGCGGC